This 494-nucleotide ribosomal RNA is filed under the name uncultured bacterium. RNAcentral describes it as "partial 16S ribosomal RNA". It matches the Rfam family "Bacterial small subunit ribosomal RNA", at positions 28 to 507 of the family's 1533-position model. The record is from RNAcentral.
GACGAACGCUGGCGGCGUGCUUAACACAUGCAAGUCGAACGGUGAAGCGCCUUCCUUUUUGGUGGGUGUGGAUGAGUGGCGAACGGGUGAGUAACACGUGAGUAACCUGCCCCCUUCUUCUGGAUAACCGCAUGAAAGUGUGGCUAAUACGGGAUAUUCUGGGUCUGUCGCAUGAUGGGUCUGGGAAAGAUAUUGUUUCGGUGGGGGAUGGGCUCGCGGCCUAUCAGCUUGUUGGUGGGGUGAUGGCCUACCAAGGCGGUGACGGGUAGCCGGCCUGAGAGGGUGGGCGGUCACGCAGGGACUGAGACACGGCCCAGACUCCUACGGGAGGCAGCAGGGGGGAAUAUUGCACAAUGGGCGCAAGCCUGAUGCAGCGACGCCGCGUGAGGGAUGGAGGCCUUUGGGUUGUGAACCUCUUUCGCCAGUGAAGCAGGCCUGCCUCGUUUGUGGGUGGGUUGACGGUAGCUGGAUAAGAAGCGCCGGCUAACUACGUG